GACUCGUCACACUAUCAUUAACUGAAUCCAUAGGUUAAUGAGGCGAACCGGGGGAACUGAAACAUCUAAGUACCCCGAGGAAAAGAAAUCAACCGAGAUUCCCCCAGUAGCGGCGAGCGAACGGGGAGGAGCCCAGAGCCUGAAUCAGCAUGUGUGUUAGUGGAAGCGUCUGGAAAGGCGCGCGAUACAGGGUGACAGCCCCGUACACAAAAGCGCAUGUGCUGUGAGCUCGAUGAGUAGGGCGGGACACGUGGUAUCCUGUCUGAAUAUGGGGGGACCAUCCUCCAAGGCUAAAUACUCCUGACUGACCGAUAGUGAACCAGUACCGUGAGGGAAAGGCGAAAAGAACCCCGGCGAGGGGAGUGAAAAAGAACCUGAAACCGUGUACGUACAAGCAGUGGGAGCCCCACCACUAAGCCAGUGGUGAACUCCACAUACGCAUCCUUUGCUGAGGAUACGGUUAACGGAGCGAAAGCGACGUUCAACCGCAAAAGAAGCAGAGGGGGCUUAGUGGUGGGGUGACUGCGUACCUUUUGUAUAAUGGGUCAGCGACUUAUAUUCUGUAGCAAGGUUAACCGUAUAGGGGAGCCGGAGGGAAACCGAGUCUUAAUUGGGCGUUAAGUUGCAGGGUAUAGACCCGAAACCCGGUGAUCUAGCCAUGGGCAGGUUGAAGGUUGGGUAACACUAACUGGAGGACCGAACCGACUAAUGUUGAAAAAUUAGCGGAUGACCUGUGGCUGGGGGUGAAAGGCCAAUCAAACCGGGAGAUAGCUGGUUCUCCCCGAAAGCUAUUUAGGUAGCGCCUCGUGAAUUCAUCUCCGGGGGUAGAGCACUGUUUCGGCUAGGGGGCCAUCCCGGCUUACCAACCCGAUGCAAACUGCGAAUACCGGAGAAUGUUAUCACGGGAGACACACGGCGGGUGCUAACGUCCGUCGUGAAGAGGGAAACAACCCAGACCGCCAGCUAAGGUCCCAAAGUCAUGGUUAAGUGGGAAACGAUGUGGGAAGGCCCAGACAGCCAGGAUGUUGGCUUAGAAGCAGCCAUCAUUUAAAGAAAGCGUAAUAGCUCACUGGUCGAGUCGGCCUGCGCGGAAGAUGUAACGGGGCUAAACCAUGCACCGAAGCUGCGGCAGCGACGCUGAUGCGUUGUUGGGUAGGGGAGCGUUCUGUAAGCCUGCGAAGGUGGCCUGUGAGGGUUGCUGGAGGUAUCAGAAGUGCGAAUGCUGACAUAAGUAACGAUAAAGCGGGUGAAAAGCCCGCUCGCCGGAAGACCAAGGGUUCCUGUCCAACGUUAAUCGGGGCAGGGUGAGUCGACCCCUAAGGCGAGGCCGAAAGGCGUAGUCGAUGGGAAACGGGUUAAUAUUCCCGUACUUGGUGUUACUGCGAAGGGGGGACGGAGAAGGCUAUGUUGGCCGGGCGACGGUUGUCCCGGUUUAAGCGUGUAGGUGUGUGUUCCAGGUAAAUCCGGUUCACUUUAACACUGAGGCGUGAUGACGAGGCACUACGGUGCUGAAGCAACAAAUGCCCUGCUUCCAGGAAAAGCCUCUAAGCAUCAGGUAACAUCAAAUCGUACCCCAAACCGACACAGGUGGUCAGGUAGAGAAUACCAAGGCGCUUGAGAGAACUCGGGUGAAGGAACUAGGCAAAAUGGUGCCGUAACUUCGGGAGAAGGCACGCUGACACGUAGGUGAAGUGAUUUACUCAUGGAGCUGAAGUCAGUCGAAGAUACCAGCUGGCUGCAACUGUUUAUUAAAAACACAGCACUGUGCAAACACGAAAGUGGACGUAUACGGUGUGACGCCUGCCCGGUGCCGGAAGGUUAAUUGAUGGGGUCAGCGCAAGCGAAGCUCCUGAUCGAAGCCCCGGUAAACGGCGGCCGUAACUAUAACGGUCCUAAGGUAGCGAAAUUCCUUGUCGGGUAAGUUCCGACCUGCACGAAUGGCGUAAUGAUGGCCAGGCUGUCUCCACCCGAGACUCAGUGAAAUUGAACUCGCUGUGAAGAUGCAGUGUACCCGCGGCAAGACGGAAAGACCCCGUGAACCUUUACUAUAGCUUGACACUGAACAUUGAGCCUUGAUGUGUAGGAUAGGUGGGAGGCUUUGAAGUGUGGACGCCAGUCUGCAUGGAGCCGGCCUUGAAAUACCACCCUUUAAUGUUUGAUGUUCUAACGUGGACCCGUGAUCCGGGUUGCGGACAGUGUCUGGUGGGUAGUUUGACUGGGGCGGUCUCCUCCUAAAGAGUAACGGAGGAGCACGAAGGUUGGCUAAUCCUGGUCGGACAUCAGGAGGUUAGUGCAAUGGCAUAAGCCAGCUUGACUGCGAGCGUGACGGCGCGAGCAGGUGCGAAAGCAGGUCAUAGUGAUCCGGUGGUUCUGAAUGGAAGGGCCAUCGCUCAACGGAUAAAAGGUACUCCGGGGAUAACAGGCUGAUACCGCCCAAGAGUUCAUAUCGACGGCGGUGUUUGGCACCUCGAUGUCGGCUCAUCACAUCCUGGGGCUGAAGUAGGUCCCAAGGGUAUGGCUGUUCGCCAUUUAAAGUGGUACGCGAGCUGGGUUUAGAACGUCGUGAGACAGUUCGGUCCCUAUCUGCCGUGGGCGCUGGAGAACUGAGGGGGGCUGCUCCUAGUACGAGAGGACCGGAGUGGACGCAUCACUGGUGUUCGGGUUGUCAUGCCAAUGGCACUGCCCGGUAGCUAAAUGCGGAAGAGAUAAGUGCUGAAAGCAUCUAAGCACGAAACUUGCCCCGA
RNAcentral lists this ribosomal RNA (2744 nucleotides) under Salmonella enterica subsp. enterica serovar Chester. RNAcentral's name for it is "partial 23S ribosomal RNA". It matches the Rfam family "Bacterial large subunit ribosomal RNA". Lineage: Bacteria; Pseudomonadati; Pseudomonadota; Gammaproteobacteria; Enterobacterales; Enterobacteriaceae. The record is from RNAcentral.